GCACCUGUCUGAGAUUUUAGAUUGCCCUCGGGGGAGGGUGAUUAACCUCUCCCUUUUUCCAUGAACUCAGGGGAGCAGAGAGUGCUUUGUCUCCUCCUGUGGCUGGAAUUUGGGAGCUGUGGAUCCCUGCUCGUGUUUCUGUGUGAGGAACAGCUCCUGAAACAGACAGGUGCCCACAUCCCCAAAAACUGCGACGAGAGAUGACAUCUUUGUUGACAGCCUCAUCAGAUUAAUUGGGACUUGAGGAGCGAGCUAAUUCUCACAUCAAGAGGCUUGAGAACACAACUGUGGGAGCCGCGUGGAGAACCUUGAACUCGUGCUCCUUGUGCCGCCGCCAGAUCAGAGCAGCUUUGAUGGACUGGAUUAGGAAAUCAGUACCCACACACUGAACGUGCUUAAUCCCUCCAGGGACGCUCAUUAAACACCGUUCAGAGCCAGGGCCGUAACAGCGUGCGCGCAGUCAGGAGCGCCACGUUUCAUUUGGGUGCUUUCAAACAGCUUCAUGCAAACAGUUUAACACAUUAAAACACGUGUGAAACUCCCCAAACCGUGGAUUUGGGGCAUUAAGUGGAACCUGAGGUGUUGAAAGCGCGAGGGAGGGUCAGGUUUUGGGGGGACACGUGAAUUAUUGGGGAGAAGCUCUGAGGAGUGGAUGGGAUCCGCUGGGUCAGGGGUUCAGUGCUCUGCAGCAGGAGAUAGCUGUGCCAUGGAAAACCUCCCGUGAGGUGCUCCAGUGCCGCUUGAAAAUGAAUUAGAAUUUUCCUCCUCUUGGGACUCUCUUCUGUGACCUUUCCCCAGUAAUGGGCAAGAGGCUGUCAUCUCAUUUCAGAAUAAAUCUAUUCCUGGCUAA
Long non-coding RNA from Hirundo rustica (Barn swallow), 850 nucleotides. RefSeq lists it as uncharacterized. The record is from RefSeq and is a predicted model, not a curated record. Lineage: Eukaryota; Metazoa; Chordata; Aves; Passeriformes; Hirundinidae. The transcript is spliced from 2 exons.